Long non-coding RNA from Bombus huntii, 1679 nucleotides. RefSeq lists it as uncharacterized. The record is from RefSeq and is a predicted model, not a curated record. The transcript is spliced from 2 exons. NCBI's taxonomy places the organism in Eukaryota, Metazoa, Arthropoda, Insecta, Hymenoptera, Apidae.
AGUGCAACGAUAGGUUUUGACGAAUAAAAUUAAAGUCGACUAAAGAACAUAAAUCCGGGAGCAAGAACGCGUGUGCUUCGCCUUGAGAACGCUGUGUAACCCGAAAGGAAGACAAGGAAAGACGCAAACGUAUGUUCGUCCGCCCAAGUUUCCAAGCGGAGAACCACUUCUGAAGGAUUUCGCGAGAAAGGAGGCGAGCCUAGUUAUCCGUUGAUGGCCGUGCGGCGAUUAAAUAUGCAUGACCGACCACCAGUGGACCGAAGGAAGCGGAGAAUUGUAAAUCAGCAGAGGGUCGAUGUGCAACUUCCUGGGAAAAGUAACUGAAAACAAAUAGACCUCGAAGGUCUCUGUCUCUGUGUUGGUAUCUGUAACCGGAGUAUCCGUGACCAAAGUAUUAGAACGUAGACUAGUGGUGUGCGCUCGCGCGAGCACCCCUGUUUGCAUGGCAGUCGUUGCUCAGGGUUGGUAGUACCGGGAACACACCAACUGCGACACUUCCGUGAAACUUUCUAACGAACCGACGACCGAGAGUUUGCAGCGCUAUCGAUGUAAAUCAGGGUCGACGUUAUAAUUUAAUCCGGCGAGACGCGACGAUGGCCUCGUCUAUCGGUGUCGAAGCGGAAAUUCCAUGGCAAAGCCCCGUCGUCGUCGUUGGCUGUCCCCCGUGGACAUUACGUUCGACGCGAUCUCGUGCAUCGUUGGCAAAUUAAAAAUUAUAAUUAUUAACAGAAUUUCGCGUUUAAUCAAACGAGGUAAGCGCGAUUGGAAACGAUGGUACAUAACGCGUUCACGCGCCAUGCGAGAUUCAUACGUCCUGCCUUGGAAAUCGAUUAGAUCGAAAUACGUAUAUUACGAACGACCGAUGUCGUUUUUUUUGCCAUUUUUCACGCAUCGUUGACAAAUUAAAAAUUGCGAUCUUUCGCCAUUUCAAAUUUCCUGUUUAAUCUCGCGUCUUUUGAAAUUAUAUAUCGCACGUGGUAAGUGUAAGGGAUUCGAGUAGGUAAACGAGCGAUGGUACAAAGUAACGUUAACGAGAUAGGAAGUAAGGGAAGAUAUUGAUAGGAAAUAGAAAACGAAAGAUUCGAGCGAUUGAGAGGGACGAAAGAUUAGUAGAGAAUUGUAAGCCGAGAAUUUUCUAAGCCAAGUUCAUUUUUUAGCCUCGAGGCCAAGCACGAAGAAUGUUAUUGCUAUUAUCGCGUUAAACGAAGUAAUUAUAUUGGAAGAGGAUGGAAAGAAUAUUAUUUAAAUUUGUCGAAGGUUGUUCAAACAUUUUAUACGUAUAUUUUUCUUUGAUUGAAUAGAUUGAAAUAUACGUUUAGCAUUUAAUUUUUGCAAGAUAGUAUUACAUUUUAUUUCCAUGCUUUUUCUCUCUUAUCCAAGUCAUUCGCGUUGUCGACCACUUUUUAGUCUAUGGAAUUCCGAUAACUAUCGUGACAGCUAACGCGUUAAUGAACAGAUUUUAUUGAAUAGAGUUAAGAAUAAGUAGAAUUUGCAUAUAAAUGUUGUAUUACAAAAAAAAAAAAGAAAAUAAAUAAAUAGAUAAUAAAAGCAAGCAGAAUGUUAUAAAAAUGUCGUGAAUACGCGACUAGUGGACAACGAGGUGCAUGAGAUUUACAUUUUUGAAACUUUGUUACGCUUUACUGAAAAACAGAAUAAAACGAGCUAUUUUAUGAAAAGUC